RNAcentral lists this transfer-messenger RNA (351 nucleotides) under Eubacteriales. RNAcentral's name for it is "RGIG1995 sp017441005 Standard tmRNA". It matches the Rfam family "transfer-messenger RNA". Rfam says of the family: Bacterial tmRNA, also known as 10Sa RNA or SsrA, is named for its dual tRNA and mRNA-like properties. Its role is to liberate the mRNA from a stalled ribosome. Lineage: Bacteria; Bacillati; Bacillota; Clostridia. RNAcentral also lists the same sequence under 1 other name. The record is from RNAcentral.
GGGGUCGUAAAGGUUUCGACGGGGAUUUUGAAGCAUGUUAAGCGGGUAGAGAUGCAGUACCUCUUUAAACAACUGUACUUUUUAAAAUUAAACGCUAACGAAAACGUAGCACUCGCUGCCUAAGUUGCAGCGCAUCUCCCCGAGGACUACCGCGACUUCGGCUGAGGUGUCAAACAAGCGGUGAACGUGAACUGUAAAUUGUCGUUUAUAGCAGUCAUGUCUUAAAGCGAUACGAAUAGCGCAGCCUGUCUGCCGGCAACGCUGUUCGGAAACACAAUAGACAGAAUGCACCCGGAGAAAGAUGUGUGAAUAGAUUUUCGGACAGGGGUUCGACUCCCCUCGACUCCACCA